GAUCAUGGCUCAGGAUGAACGCUGGCGGCGUGCCUAACACAUGCAAGUCGAACGAAGCAUCUUAUAGGAAGUUUUCGGAUGGAAUAUGGGAUGACUGAGUUGCGAACGGGUGAGUAACGCGUAGGUAACCUGCCUGGUAGCGGGGGAUAACUAUUGGAAACGAUAGCUAAUACCGCAUAAGAGUAGAUAUCGCAUGAUAGCUGCUUAAAAGGUGCAAUUGCACCACUACCAG
This 232-nucleotide ribosomal RNA is filed under the name uncultured bacterium. RNAcentral's name for it is "partial 16S ribosomal RNA". It matches the Rfam family "Bacterial small subunit ribosomal RNA", at positions 15 to 224 of the family's 1533-position model. The record is from RNAcentral.